RNAcentral lists this ribosomal RNA (429 nucleotides) under Actinomycetes bacterium. RNAcentral's name for it is "Actinobacteria bacterium partial 16S ribosomal RNA". It matches the Rfam family "Bacterial small subunit ribosomal RNA", at positions 355 to 776 of the family's 1533-position model. The record is from RNAcentral. Lineage: Bacteria; Bacillati; Actinomycetota; Actinomycetes.
UAGGGAAUCUUCCGCAAUGGGCGAAAGCCUGACGGAGCAACGCCGCGUGAGUGAUGAAGGUCUUCGGAUCGUAAAACUCUGUUAUUAGGGAAGAACAAAUGUGUAAGUAACUAUGCACGUCUUGACGGUACCUAAUCAGAAAGCCACGGCUAACUACGUGCCAGCAGCCGCGGUAAUACGUAGGUGGCAAGCGUUAUCCGGAAUUAUUGGGCGUAAAGCGCGCGUAGGCGGUUUUUUAAGUCUGAUGUGAAAGCCCACGGCUCAACCGUGGAGGGUCAUUGGAAACUGGAAAACUUGAGUGCAGAAGAGGAAAGUGGAAUUCCAUGUAUAGCGGUGAAAUGCGCAGAGAUAUGGAGGAACACCAGUGGCGAAGGCGACUUUCUGGUCUGUAACUGACGCUGAUGUGCGAAAGCGUGGGGAUCAAACAGG